ACAAUGGAGAGUUUGAUCCUGGCUCAGGAUGAACGCUAGCUACAGGCUUAACACAUGCAAGUCGAGGGGAAACGACAUUGAAGCUUGCUUCGAUGGGCGUCGACCGGCGCACGGGUGAGUAACGCGUAUCCAACCUGCCUCUGACUAAGGGAUAACCCGGCGAAAGUCGGACUAAUACCUUAUGAGGUUUUCAGCAGACAUCUAACGAAAACGAAAGAUUUAUCGGUCAGUGAUGGGGAUGCGUCUGAUUAGCUUGUUGGCGGGGUAACGGCCCACCAAGGCAACGAUCAGUAGGGGUUCUGAGAGGAAGGUCCCCCACAUUGGAACUGAGACACGGUCCAAACUCCUACGGGAGGCAGCAGUGAGGAAUAUUGG
This 375-nucleotide ribosomal RNA is filed under the name Segatella salivae. RNAcentral's name for it is "bacterial SSU rRNA". It matches the Rfam family "Bacterial small subunit ribosomal RNA", at positions 1 to 367 of the family's 1533-position model. Lineage: Bacteria; Pseudomonadati; Bacteroidota; Bacteroidia; Bacteroidales; Prevotellaceae. The record is from RNAcentral.